Molecule: long non-coding RNA, 1732 nt
Organism: Oncorhynchus keta (chum salmon)
Lineage: Eukaryota; Metazoa; Chordata; Actinopteri; Salmoniformes; Salmonidae
Exons: 3
Source: RefSeq, a predicted model, not a curated record
UGUGUGUGUGUGUGUGUGUGUGUGUGUGUGUGUGUGUGUGUGUGGGGGGGGUCCUCAGCUUGCUUCCUUCUGAGGAUUUGAUUCAUAAUGACAUCCAGGAUGAGUUGACUGUAACAGUUGAUUCAUAAUGACAUCCAGGAUGAGUUGACUGUAACAGUUGAUUCAUAAUGACGUCCAGGUUGAGUUGACUGUAACAGUUGAUUCAUAAUGACAUCCAGGAUGAGUUGACUGUAACAGUUGAUUCAUAAGGACAUCCAGGUUGAGUUGACUGUAACAGUUGAUUCAUAAUGACGUCCAGGAUGAGUUGACUGUAACAGUUGAUUCAUAAUGACGUCCAGGAUGAGUUGACUGUAACAGUUGAUUCAUAAUGACAUCCAGGAUGAGUUGACUGUAACAGUUGAUUCAUAAGGACAUCCAGGAUGAGUUGACUGUAACAGUUGAUUCAUAAGGACGUCCAGGAUGAGUUGACUGUAACAGUUGAUUCAUAAUGACGUCCAGGUUGAGUUGACUGUAACAGUUGAUUCAUAAGGACAUCCAGGAUGAGUUGACUGUAACAGUUGAUUCAUAAUGACGUCCAGGAUGAGUUGACUGUAACAGUUGAUUCAUAAGGACAUCCAGGAUGAGUUGACUGUAACAGUUGAUUCAUAAGGACAUCCAGGUUGAGUUGACUGUAACAGUUGAUUCAUAAUGACGUCCAGGUUGAGUUGACUGUAACAGUUGAUUCAUAAGGACGUCCAGGAUGAGUUGACUGUAACAGUUGAUUCAUAAUGACGUCCAGGAUGAGUUGACUGUAACAGUUGAUUCAUAAGGACAUCCAGGAUGAGUUGACUGUAACAGUUGAUUCAUAAGGACAUCCAGGAUGAGUUGACUGUAACAGUUGAUUCAUAAGGACAUCCAGGAUGAGUUGACUGUAACAGUUGAUUCAUAAUGACGUCCAGGAUGAGUUGACUGUAACAGUUGAUUCAUAAUGACAUCCAGGAUGAGUUGACUGUAACAGUUGAUUCAUAAGGACAUCCAGGAUGAGUUGACUGUAACAGUUGAUUCAUAAGGACAUCCAGGAUGAGUUGACUGUAACAGUUGAUUCAUAAUGACGUCCAGGUUGAGUUGACUGUAACAGUUGAUUCAUAAUGACAUCCAGGAUGAGUUGACUGUAACAGUUGAUUCAUAAUGACAUCCAGGAUGAGUUGACUGUAACAGUUGAUUCAUAAUGACGUCCAGGAUGAGUUGACUGUAACAGUUGAUUCAUAAGGACAUCCAGGAUGAGUUGACUGUAACAGUUGAUUCAUAAUGACGUCCAGGAUGAGUUGACUGUAACAGUUGAUUCAUAAUGACGUCCAGGAUGAGUUGACUGUAACAGUUGAUUCAUAAUGACAUCCAGGAUGAGUUGACUGUAACAGUUGAUUCAUAAGGACAUCCAGGAUGAGUUGACUGUAACAGUUGAUUCAUAAGGACAUCCAGGAUGAGUUGACUGUAACAGUUGAUUCAUAAGGACAUCCAGGAUGAGUUGACUGUAACAGUUGAUUCAUAAGGACAUCCAGGAUGAGUUGACUGUAACAGUUGAUUCAUAAGGACAUCCAGGAUGAGCUGACUGUAACAGUUGAUUCAUAAGGACAUCCAGGAUGAGUUGACUGUAACAGUUGAUUCAUAAGGACAUCCAGGUUGAGUUGACUGUAACAGUUGAUUCAUAAGGACAUCCAGGAUGAGCUGACUGUAACAGUUGAUUCAUAAGGAC